Molecule: ribosomal RNA, 476 nt
Filed under: uncultured bacterium
Lineage: Bacteria
Description: partial 16S ribosomal RNA
Rfam family: Bacterial small subunit ribosomal RNA
Source: RNAcentral
AUUGAACGCUGGCGGCAUGCCUUACACAUGCAAGUCGAACGGUAACAGGUUAAGCUGACGAGUGUCGAACGGGUGAGUAAUGUAUCGGAACGUGCCCAGUCGUGGGGGAUAACUGCUCAAGAGAGCAGCUGAUACCGCAUACGACCUGCGGCUGAAAGCGGGGAAUGGCAAGACCUCGCACGAUUCGAUCGCCCGUUAUCAGAUUAGGUAGUUGCUGGGGUAAAGGCCCACCAAGCCGACGAUCUGUAGCGGGUCUGAGAGGACGAUCAGUAACACUGGAACGGAGACACGGUCCAGACUCCUACGGGAGGCAGCAGUGGGGAAUAUUGGACAAGGGGCGAAAGCCGGAUCCAGCCAGGCCGCGUGUGUGAAGAAGGUCUUCGGAUUGUAAAGCACUUUAAGAUGGAAGAAAGGGCAGUAAGUUAAUACCUUGCUGUUUGGACGUUACCAAAAGAAUAAGCACCGGCUAACUUCGU